CAGCCGCCGCGGGAAUACGUAGGGUGCAAGCGUUAAUCGGAAUUACUGGGCGUAAAGCGUGCGCAGGCGGUUAUAUAAGACAGAUGUGAAAUCCCCGGGCUCAACCUGGGAACUGCAUUUGUGACUGUAUAGCUAGAGUACGGCAGAGGGGGAUGGAAUUCCGCGUGUAGCAGUGAAAUGCGUAGAUAUGCGGAGGAACACCGAUGGCGAAGGCAAUCCCCUGGGCCUGUACUGACGCUCAUGCACGAAAGCGUGGGGAGCAAACAGGAUUAGAUACCCCAGUAGUCCCUGUCUCUUAUAA
Molecule: ribosomal RNA, 301 nt
Filed under: uncultured bacterium
Lineage: Bacteria
Description: partial 16S ribosomal RNA
Rfam family: Bacterial small subunit ribosomal RNA
Source: RNAcentral